This 434-nucleotide long non-coding RNA is filed under the name Brassica napus (rape). RNAcentral's name for it is "long non-coding RNA (BNAP_LNC022815)". The record is from RNAcentral. Lineage: Eukaryota; Viridiplantae; Streptophyta; Magnoliopsida; Brassicales; Brassicaceae.
GAUUCCGGCUCCAAGCCCAAUCAUGAUUCGCGGCCUUAACAUCCCACAUUUAUAUAGUUGAUCCCGGUUUUCCUAAGUCUUUAGAUGCUAAGUCCAAUUUCAUUAAGUGAGGUUCAAGAUCAAUCAAUCCUAUCAAGUGAAUAUAAGGGGCAAAUUGAUUGUAUACAUAUAAUAAAUGAGAUCCAUACAUCAUUCAUAGAUUCAUACUACCAGAAUACACACUUAGUCUAUCAUGAGUUCACAAGUUGCACAAUAGGCUAUCAAUACUUCACACUUAUCAAUAAUGACCCAUUCACUACACAUCUUCCCAUGGCCUGAGUCUUCACGGUAUUUUUCCUUUACCGCGGUCCAAGUCUGAUCCUGAAACCAUACAAACCACAUCAUAAACACAUAAGACCAAUAACCUAAUCAUCAAAUCUAGAAUCGCAUGGUUC